UAAGUAUGACAUAAAUAUUUUUAUAUUUACACAAAAAAUUUGAAUAAAAUGAAUGGUCAAACGUUUGUCGAAAAGUCAACGGCAUCAUACAUUAAAAUACGGAGGGAGUAGUAUUUUCUAUCUUUGUGCUCGAAUACUGGCUGGCUCAUGUUCUAUUGACACAUGGACCUAAAAGAGUAAUAUUUGACAAGAGGCUGGCUAAAUACCUGGUGGCUGAACUAUGCAACACAUUUAGCAUGUCACACAAGUGGUGUGUUUCCUAAUACACUCAAGCCUGUACAACAAAUUCUGCUUCAACAAGUAACUAGAACAAAAAUUCACCUGUCGAUGACUACAUAUGUUUGGUAAAGAAGCAUCUGAAAUAUUCCAUAUUAGUAGGUGCUAAUACAACUUGGCUGUUCAUUUAGUGUAAUGAAUUCUGGCAGAUUGGUGUGAAAUAUGCCACAGUUUCUGCUUGUUUGGCUUUUCUUUUUAUUUUGGAGUUGCAGAAUUAGGUGUAAUAAUUUGCAGGUGGUGAAUGAAAUGUGGGCGUCUUGGGAACUACCGGAGGGCUCAAUUUCUGCUGGAGGUUGUCCCUGUUGUGGACGGAAAGGGAAAUGUUGAGUUAUCAGUAACAGGCUUUACGCUAUUCCUGAUAAUAAAAAGGAAUCCUCAACAAUGAAGAGAUUUUGCUGUUUUGAAUUGCAAGCUCUAUGACUUCUGUGGUGAAGAGAGAGACCUUUCUGAGAUGGAUGCUGCUCAUCUGAUAAGAGAAUUUGAUAUUACUGAGCUUGACAAGGUAAUCAAGGAAGCAAAACUAAACCUUGCUCCUGGUCCAUAUGGCUUCCCUGCACAAUUCUAUAGACAAUUCUGGCCACAGCUGAGACAGGGUUUGUUUAAGAUGCUGCAACUGCUUCAUGAUGAAGAGUUAGACUUAAGGAGGUUGAACUUUGGUGCCAUUACCCUAAUCCCUAAAAUUCCCUCCCCUACCUCAAUCAAGCAAUUCAGAUCCGUCUAUGGGCUAAAUGGUUCCCUGAAGUAUCAGCAAAGUUCUGACAAACAGACUGUCUGUAGUGGCUCCAUCCACCGUUGCCUCAACACAAACUGCUUUUAUUCCAGGCAGGUUCAUACUUGAAGGAUGUGUUAUUCUACAUGAGGUGAUGCAUGAACUAAGGAGAAAUAAACAAAGAGGCGUGAUUCUGAAACUAGAUUUUGAGAAGGCUUAUGACAGAGUGAGAUGGGGAUUCGUUUAUGGGGUGUUUGACAGUGAUUCUGAAACUAGAUUUUGAGAAGGCUUGACAGAGUGAGAUGGGGAUUCGUUAUGGGGUGUUGGACAGAGCAUUUUCAUGAAAAAUGGAUUCACUGGGUGAAAAGCUGUAUAGAAGGUGGAAAAGUCUGUAUCAACAUAAAUGGGUAGAGAUCUAAUUUUUUUCAGCACUUACAGAGGCCUCAGGCAGGAGGAUCCUAUCUCUCCGCUGCUCUUCAAUUAUGUGAGUGAUGCGUUGAUCCAGCUAUUUGAUGCAGCCAAAAGCGCCAAUAUCCUAACAGGGCUGGUCCCACACCUCUUCCCUGGGGGAUUGACUCACCUACAAAUGCAGAUGAUACAGUGAUUUUUAUCCCAUACCUUGCUGUGACCAAGUUCCUUCUUUACUGCUUUGAGGACAUGUCUGGUCUAAAGAUUAACUAUGAUAAAGGCAAGGUGUUUGCUGUGGGGUUGGAGUAAAAUGAGUUGAACAGAGUUGCUAACAUGCUCAACUGCCCUGCAGGUUCUUCCCAAUGAAGUAUCUAGUUUUACCCAUCAGUCCACAAAAGGUAGGGAUCUCUGAGUUAAAAUUCCUACCACAUAAGUUAGAAAAGAUGUUCUCGUCAAAAAAAAGUUAGAAAAGAGGUUGGGUACAUGGAAGUCAAAUUUCUCAUCUGGGGGGAGAGAUAUCCUUAUCAAUUCUUGCCUAUCAUCCAUUCCCUCCUAUACAAUGGGUUUCUAUCUUUUGCCAGAAUGCAUUCAUCGCAAGAUCAACACAGUUAGGAGCAGGUUUUAAUGGGCAGGUAAUGGCUCCAAGAAAAAAAAUACAUGAUGAAAUGGGACCAUUUAUGCAGUCAUAAAGAGUUUGGGGGCAUGGGGUUCACAGAAACAAUGAAGUAUAACACGCUCUGUUAUCCAAAUGGAUUUGGAAGCUGGAAUCAGGGGACAUGAGCCCCUGUAUAGAGCUGUUAAGAAGAAAAUAUCUACAGAUCAAGGGGUUUUUCCAAUCUGAAAAGGAGGGAGGGUCACAAUUUUGUAGAAGCUUGCACUCAAUUAAAUUCUGGGUCCAAAACAACUCUGAAUGGAAAUUGGGAUAAGGAACUCAUAUCUCUUUCUGGUCAGAUGUUUGGACUGGGUCCUGUCCUUUGAAAACAAAUCUGUAACCAACAAGAGAUUCUGGUGCCUGAUGCUCUGGCCUCUUGGCCUGAGGGGAUUUCUUUCAGAAGGUCUUUUGGCCCGGUGGAGGUGGAGUGGGAAAACCUUGGGCAACGAAUGGCUGAAAUCUCUUACUGAUGAGGAAGACAUGAUGCUUUGGCCUUUUGAGAAGAACAAAUGCUUUUCUACAAAGUCUUGCUACAAAAUGCUAAACUUUCAUGGGGUGAAAGAUAUGAGAGGACUAGAUAUUUGGCAAGAGCCAAUGCCCCAGAAGGUAAAGCACUUUGUAUGGCUUGCUUGGAAAGAUAAGAUUCAAUCCACCUCCUAUCUGGUUAAGAAGAAUUGGGAAGGAUCUGAGAGAUGCAUUCUUUGUUCUGAGAUAGAAGAUGCCUGGCCAGAAAAUGAAUGAAAAGGGUCUUAUGCUGCUCAGCUGCUGGGUGCAGCGAACAAAAUCUUGUCCACACCUCUAACCCUUGUUUUUCGUGUGAUUUUCUUCCUUUGGCAGUGGAGUAGGUCGAUGCGCAAAGGAGAAGAAGCUCAAGCGGAGUCGAUGGCGGUGAAGAUCCUAGAAGUUACCCUGGUUUAGGCUGAGCAGGGUUUUGGAGCCUUGCUGUUCUUUGCCAGAACCUAAACUCGUUUUGUUUUUGUUUCUCUUCCUGAGAUCCCUGUUAGAGUUGCAGCAGUUAAGUUGGUUGGUGGCCGGUGUUUUGGCCCUGUUCCCUGUCUGGCAAAGCUGGUGUUGUCCCCAGAGAAUCUGUGGAAAACUCUGAAAUUUCAGCUUUGUCCGUUUAUGACAUGGCAUUUGAACAUUGUUUCCUUGAUCACAGGGAGAUCCACUGGUCAAUUGGUUCGACUCUUGAAGGCCAGGAGAUCUCAACCACAGCAAUGGUGAAACUAGGAGCAACAUAAUGCAGCCGCUUGUUAUUUCCAGCCAAAAUUAAUGCUUUAGUCAAUGUUACGCACUUAGUGGUUCCAAAAGCCAAACCAUGGUGUGUUUUUGCUGCUGUUUGUUGUUCAUAAACAAUGGGCAAUGGAAUUCACCUGACGAUAUGUGUUGUUGAGCUAAUGAUUUUGAACCUCAUAGCACCAGGAA
Non-coding RNA from Oryza sativa Japonica Group (Japanese rice), 3470 nucleotides. Lineage: Eukaryota; Viridiplantae; Streptophyta; Magnoliopsida; Poales; Poaceae. The record is from RefSeq and is a predicted model, not a curated record.